This 70-nucleotide small RNA is filed under the name Pseudomonas abyssi. RNAcentral's name for it is "Pseudomonas sRNA P9". It matches the Rfam family "Pseudomonas sRNA P9". Rfam says of the family: P9 appears to be conserved in several Pseudomonas species in addition to Bordetella spp. In both Pseudomonas and Bordetella spp P9 appears to be located upstream of a predicted threonine dehydratase gene. P9 has a predicted Rho independent terminator at the 3' end but the function of P9 is unknown. The record is from RNAcentral. RNAcentral also lists the same sequence under 1 other name. Lineage: Bacteria; Pseudomonadati; Pseudomonadota; Gammaproteobacteria; Pseudomonadales; Pseudomonadaceae.
UGAUUAUUACCGCCAUUCCAGCAACGGCGGGCUAGCUUGCGUCCAGACCCCACCCGCCUCCGAGGCGGGU